GUGGUUGUAGUUUAGUGGUAAGAAUUCCAUGUUAUGGCCGUGAAGACCUGGGCUCGAAUGCUAGUGGCCACA
Molecule: transfer RNA, 72 nt
Filed under: Ipomoea nil (Japanese morning glory)
Lineage: Eukaryota; Viridiplantae; Streptophyta; Magnoliopsida; Solanales; Convolvulaceae
Rfam family: tRNA
About the family: Transfer RNA (tRNA) molecules are approximately 80 nucleotides in length. Their secondary structure includes four short double-helical elements and three loops (D, anti-codon, and T loops). Further hydrogen bonds mediate the characteristic L-shaped molecular structure. tRNAs have two regions of fundamental functional importance: the anti-codon, which is responsible for specific mRNA codon recognition, and the 3' end, to which the tRNAs corresponding amino acid is attached (by aminoacyl-tRNA synthetases). tRNAs cope with the degeneracy of the genetic code in two manners: having more than one tRNA (with a specific anti-codon) for a particular amino acid; and 'wobble' base-pairing, i.e. permitting non-standard base-pairing at the 3rd anti-codon position.
Source: Rfam by way of RNAcentral